Molecule: small nucleolar RNA, 110 nt
Organism: Sorex araneus (European shrew)
Lineage: Eukaryota; Metazoa; Chordata; Mammalia; Eulipotyphla; Soricidae
Gene: SNORD89
Product: small nucleolar RNA, C/D box 89
Source: Ensembl
GCCGAGGAAUGAUGACAAUAAAAGGCCGAAUUGCAGUGUCUCCCCAGCAGUUGGCUCUCUGGGUGCACGAUGACAAAACCCCCCGAAGCGAACCCCAUUCUGACCUCGGC